This 235-nucleotide ribosomal RNA is filed under the name uncultured Actinomycetales bacterium. RNAcentral describes it as "partial 16S ribosomal RNA". It matches the Rfam family "Bacterial small subunit ribosomal RNA", at positions 96 to 334 of the family's 1533-position model. The record is from RNAcentral. Lineage: Bacteria; Bacillati; Actinomycetota; Actinomycetes; Actinomycetales.
UGGCGAACGGGUGAGUAACGCGUGGGUGAUCUGCCUUGCACUCUGGGAUAAGCUUGGGAAACUGGGUCUAAUACCGGAUAGGAACCGUCUUUAGUGUGGUGGUUGGAAAGUUUUUUCGGUGCAAGAUGAGCUCGCGGCCUAUCAGCUUGUUGGUGGGGUAAUGGCCUACCAAGGCGUCGACGGGUAGCCGGCCUGAGAGGGUGUACGGCCACAUUGGGACUGAGAUACGGCCCAG